This 301-nucleotide ribosomal RNA is filed under the name uncultured bacterium. RNAcentral's name for it is "partial 16S ribosomal RNA". It matches the Rfam family "Bacterial small subunit ribosomal RNA", at positions 509 to 807 of the family's 1533-position model. The record is from RNAcentral.
CAGCCGCCGCGGGAAUACGAAGGGGGCUAGCGUUGUUCGGAAUUACUGGGCGUAAAGGGCGCGUAGGCGGCCAUUCAAGUUAGAUGUGAAAGCCCUGGGCUUAACCUAGGAAUUGCAUUUGAUACUGUUUGGCUUGAGUUCGGGAGAGGUGAGUGGAAUUCCCAGUGUAGAGGUGAAAUUCGUAGAUAUUGGGAAGAACACCAGUGGCGAGGGCGGCUCACUGGACCGACACUGACGCUGAGGCGCGAGAGCGUGGGGAGCAAACAGGAUUAGAUACCCCCGUAGUCCCUGUCUCUUAUAC